GCCCGCCUAGCUCAAUCGGAUAGAGCGUCAGACUUUUACGGACGAGAAACUUCUUCAAUCUGAAGGCUGCGAGUUCGACUCUCGCGGUGGGCU
Molecule: non-coding RNA, 93 nt
Organism: Flammula alnicola
Lineage: Eukaryota; Fungi; Basidiomycota; Agaricomycetes; Agaricales; Strophariaceae
Source: the annotation of a GenBank genome assembly